AGAAGAGAGUGACAGAGAAUGUGGGAGUGAAAGUUUUUUUUUAUUUUUUUUAUUUUUUUUUUAAAUUAGAGAUAUGUUAGGAUUACAUAUUGUUGAGGCUUUGAAAAAAAAACAGCAAAAUUUGUUUGUGUGAAAUUACUUUUUUGCCCUAUAUUUCUUAUUUAUGUUAUGUUUUAAUUAGAGGGUUAACUUGGUAAUUUUAUAGGGUUUGGUUGACAAUGAGUGUUUUAUUAAUUAGUAGAGAAAAGAUACACACACUCUCUCUAAAUAAAACCUCUUACAUUUGACUUGAAAUAUAUAAGUUGUAUUUUUUAAAUUUUAGUUGUAGUUUUUAAAUUUAAGUUGUAUUUUUUAAAUUUUAGUUAUAGUUUUUAAAUUUAAAUUGUUGUAGUUUUUUAAUUUAAAUAAUAAAUUAUGUUUGGCUAUAUAGCUCUCGAUUGGAGAUUAUUUUUAAUGACAGGACUAAAACAAGUCUUAUGACUCUUUGACCCUCGAUUGGAUAUGUUAAGAAAUAUGGCAUUGCAUUGUUCAUUAAAAUAUUUAUUUCUUGGAGGAUUAGAGGAUUAAAACGAACCAUCUGGUUACCUUUCAGUUGGAGAUGGCCUUAAUUUAGUUGAAUUGAAGAGUUCAUAGGGUUUCUCACCCUUAUUCUUCCUGGACAGAGAUCCUCUCCGGAUCAGUCCUGUAGCGAUCUGGCGGAUCCAUUGAUCGCAACCGCACGAUAUAAAUCCAACGGUCAAAAUUUACAAUAUGUUUCACGCAAAACGAGGUCGUCUCCGCUCUCUUUUUCUGUUGCUUCUUCCCCUUCCCUCUUCGGCAUGUCUGCAAGAAUUCUCUCUUCCCAUGCCUACAAAUUCUUGCUCCACAUGCUCAAAUUUCUGCAGCCCAAUUGAUCAAGAGGAGGGGAGACAGAGAACCUUGGUUGCCGGAAAAAUCCAAGGAAAUGGAAUGAAGAUUAUACCUUUGGAGACGAGAGGGAACUGACAUGGCCAUGAAGGGAGGAACUUUCAGGGAUGGAGAAGGAAGAAGCGGACGACGUGAUUGCAGGAGAAGAAAUUUUUUGGCCGUUGGAUUUGUACCAACGACUAUGAUCAAUGGAUCCGCAAGAUCCCCACGGGACUGAUCCGGAGAGGAUCUCAGUCCAUUCUUCCCAUAUGCAAUAAUAAUCUAUAGGUCUACUCUACAUAUCCUUCAUAA
This is a long non-coding RNA of Pyrus x bretschneideri (Chinese white pear), 1197 nucleotides long. RefSeq lists it as uncharacterized. The record is from RefSeq and is a predicted model, not a curated record. The transcript has 2 exons. NCBI's taxonomy places the organism in Eukaryota, Viridiplantae, Streptophyta, Magnoliopsida, Rosales, Rosaceae.